RNAcentral lists this ribosomal RNA (253 nucleotides) under uncultured bacterium. RNAcentral describes it as "partial 16S ribosomal RNA". It matches the Rfam family "Bacterial small subunit ribosomal RNA", at positions 524 to 776 of the family's 1533-position model. The record is from RNAcentral.
UACAGAGGUGGCAAGCGUUGUUCGGAAUUACUGGGCGUAAAGGGCGCGUAGGCGGUUCGUUAAGUCCUGUGUGAAAUCCCCCGGCUCAACUGGGGAACUGCACAGGAAACUAGCGGGCUUGAGUUCGGGAGAGGGAAGCGGAAUUCCGGGUGUAGAGGUGAAAUUCGUAGAGAUCGGGAGGAACACCAGAGGCGAAGGCGGCGACCUGGACAGUUACUGACACUCAACUGCGAAAGCGUGGGGAGCAAACAGG